AAGCGCUCAUGACCAGACUUGGGCCCGGUGAAUCAUCCAGCGUUCUCGCUGGUGCACUUUGCCGGGCACAGGCCAGCAUCAGUUUGCCGCGGGGGAUAAAGGCUUCGGGAACGUGGCUCCCUCGGGAGUGUUAUAGCCCGUUGCACAAUACCCUGGGGCGGACUGAGGUUCGCGCAUCUGCUAGGAUGCUGGCGUAAUGGUCAUCAGCGA
This 210-nucleotide ribosomal RNA is filed under the name Subuliphorum camptosporum. RNAcentral describes it as "Acremonium camptosporum partial large subunit ribosomal RNA". Lineage: Eukaryota; Fungi; Ascomycota; Sordariomycetes; Hypocreales; Chlorocilliaceae. The record is from RNAcentral.